CGGGGCUCAACGCCUUGUAAUUGGAAUGAUGGGAACCUAAACCCCUUCCAGAGUAUCAAUUGGAGGGCAAGUCUGGUGCCAGCAGCCGCGGUAAUUCCAGCUCCAAUAGCGUAUAUUAAAAUUGUUGCAGUUAAAAAGCUCGUAGUUGAAUUUCUGCCGCAUCGCCGCGGCCCUCCCGGGCCCAGCGUUGCGGCUUAUUUCGGACUCGCUUGCGUCUCCGAAUGUUUACUUUGAGAAAAUUAGAGUGCUCAAAGCAGGCCCUUGCCUUGAAUACUUUAGCAUGGAAUAAUAAAGUAGGACUUUGGUUCUAUUUUGUUGGUUUAGCGCCAAAGUAAUGGUUAAUAGGAACAGUUGGGGGCAUUCGUAUUUAACUGUCAGAGGUGAAAUUCUUAGAUUUGUUAAAGACGAACCACUGCGAAAGCAUUUGCCAAGGAUGUUUUCAUUAAUCAAGAA
This 453-nucleotide ribosomal RNA is filed under the name Theileria mutans. RNAcentral's name for it is "SSU rRNA". It matches the Rfam family "Eukaryotic small subunit ribosomal RNA", at positions 486 to 983 of the family's 1831-position model. The record is from RNAcentral. Lineage: Eukaryota; Apicomplexa; Aconoidasida; Piroplasmida; Theileriidae.